AAACUCAAAUGAAUUGACGGGGCCCGCACAAGCGGAGGAACAUGUGGUUUAAUUCGAUGAUACGCGAGGAACCUUACCCGGGUUUAAAUGGGGAGUGACAGGUGUGGAAACAUGCCCUUCUUCGGACACUCUUCAAGGUGCUGCAUGGUUGUCGUCAGCUCGUGCCGUGAGGUGUCGGGUUAAGUCCCAUAACGAGCGCAACCCACGUCGUUAGUUGCCAUCAGGUAGUGCUGGGCACUCUAACGAGACUGCCGGUGUAAACCGCGAGGAAGGUGUGGAUGACGUCAAAUCAGCACGGCCCUUACAUCCGGGGCUACACACGUGUUACAAUGGACGGUACAGAGGGCAGCUACUGGGCGACCAGAUGCGAAUCUCGAAAGCCGUUCUCAGUUCGGAUCGGAGUCUGCAACCCGCCUGCAUGAAGAUGGAGUUGCUAGUAACCGCAGGUCAGCUAUACUGCGGUGAAUACGUUCCCGGGGCUU
RNAcentral lists this ribosomal RNA (482 nucleotides) under uncultured Alkaliflexus sp. RNAcentral describes it as "bacterial SSU rRNA". It matches the Rfam family "Bacterial small subunit ribosomal RNA", at positions 897 to 1382 of the family's 1533-position model. Lineage: Bacteria; Pseudomonadati; Bacteroidota; Bacteroidia; Marinilabiliales; Marinilabiliaceae. The record is from RNAcentral.